GCUCGUCAUGAAUAUUACAGUAGAAAGUUGUGCAUAUGUGAAUAGCUUCUAAAGAUUUGGGACAAUAAGUAUCCCAAUGUUGAUGUGUUUCCUUGGCUCCUCUUGUAAGAUCUCAAAACUGCCCCCAUGCAGAAAGACAAUUUCUCAUCAGGCACCAGCAGCCGGAGCACCGAGCUCAUUCACAGAGGAGUCCGAUAUCUACAGAAAGCCAUCAUGAAAUUGGAUUACAAACAGGACAACACGACGAUGCUCGAAUGAACCUCGCCAUCGCCCUCACUGCUGCCAGGUAUGUGGCUGCCAUAGCCAAUUACACUGAAGUGGUGCACCUACUGCAGAGGGCAGACCCCUCAGACGGGGGAGAAAGAGGGUCUGCGGAGAGCACUGCAGGGAUGUGAUCACAGGACGAGUCCAAACACCUCGCUCCAAUUUGGCACUGAACUGGUGAAGCCGCGCCUCCAGGAAGCUCUCUGUCGUGAUUGACAUGUAAUCAGACACGCCCACUAAGGUGAGCAUUUCAGCAUCCUUUGCACAGUGCUAUGUAUGUAUUUCACAUCUGUAGAGAGAAAUUAACAAUGGUUAAAA
Molecule: long non-coding RNA, 582 nt
Filed under: Gouania willdenowi (blunt-snouted clingfish)
Lineage: Eukaryota; Metazoa; Chordata; Actinopteri; Blenniiformes; Gobiesocidae
Description: lncRNA (ENSGWIG00000025137.1)
Source: RNAcentral